Long non-coding RNA from Homo sapiens (human), 3538 nucleotides. RefSeq lists it as uncharacterized. The record is from RefSeq and is a predicted model, not a curated record. The transcript is spliced from 3 exons. NCBI's taxonomy places the organism in Eukaryota, Metazoa, Chordata, Mammalia, Primates, Hominidae.
GAGAGUAAUGGCACCUAUCUUUCCUUUUACAAUACUGGAGGUGGUCCACACCCGUCCCAGCAGCCACAGUGGGAGCCUCCAACUGCAGGUGUUUCUAGGCAGCCAUCUUGCCCCCGCCCCGCCUCGAGUGAUCCUGGGACUCCUUGAGAAGACAGCCCUGAAUUGAGCAAAUCCAUCUCCCUCUUCUUAGAUACCUGCCCAUGAGAAACUGCCCUGUCAUUAGUUGUCUCAAGUCCCAGCUUGCCUUCAGAAUACUGUGGAGCCGCCCACAUUGAAAGGAAGUGAAGCAAAAGAAAACUCUUCAGACUUGAAAGUCAAGAGUAAUGCAACAGUAUGAUGAUUCUGGGAUUAUUUUCAUAAGGAACUGGCUGACUGAGCAUCCUGGUUCCAGGCUUCACAUUGUAGCUUCUUUUGUCUGUCAGCUUGUUUGAAAGGGCUGUGGUGAAAUUUUUAAUAGUUGUUUUUAAAAUCUUGUUUAUAAUGACCUUGCAGAAACUGGAAACUUUUCUUUGUACCAGUUUUGUCCUUUUCUAUUUUGCAAAGAGCGCUUUCUGUAUUUCCAAUGGAACUUUUAAAUUUUAAAAAAAUACUAUAUUGACAAUUUUGGUAGGAAUGAAUACCUAGUUUUUGAUUCAAUGCUCAUCCAUUAUUUACUGAGGACUUGUCAAUCCACUUUGCUUGUAGUUAAGUGACAAUUGUGUUCAAUGGAGGCACAGAGUGGUGAGGCUGUGGUACUGGUUUACUUAUCAGAAAACAUGGUCUAUUAAUGCAAAGGAAGAUAUUGCUCAAAAAAGGAGGGUCUCUGAGAGAUGUGUAAGCUUGAGGCCAACUCCCUAAUUUGAAUCUUUGAAUGAUUUUUAAGGAGGAUUGUCUCAAAAAAGUUUAAAUAACUCUUCAGGGUAUACAGAUAGAAAGUAGAUUGUGAAGGCCUUUGGGGUCAUAUAAUCAAGAGUUUAGUUUUUGCAUCAUACUAAUGUAGAGAAGUUCAUUCACUUUGAGAACUUCAUUGAUCUCCGAGUCUGUUGGGCCUACCAUAGUUUGUGCCUUAGAAUUUUUCAGAUAUUUCUGAGGUCAAGUUUACACAGAAAAUCCCAUAUAGUAUUGAUGAGAAGUAGAUGUCAUUGUAUUAGAGGAGAGAUGUGUAUCAAGGCUAGUUGGUAGAACUGGGAUAUAUCAAAAUAAAACUAUAGCUUAAGGGUUAAAAGCCACAUUUGGAUGAGGUAGACGGUCUUAUGAAAGACAUUAAAGCUGGGUUCUCAAUUUUAGUUUCACGUUGAAUUAAUACUCAAGUAUAUCGGGCUGGGGAUUUUGAGUGGAAGUACCUUUAGGAAUAAAGUAAGUCUGGCCAGUGAGAUAUAGAGAAAGUGUUCUGCCCUGUUUCUGCGUACUUGUAACCUGAGAAUGAGAUAAGGUUUCUGCAAAGAUUUAACUGUUCCUGCAUUACACUGGCUUGGCAUUUUCUUUUGUUAAUCGUAUUAUGGAGAGAUAAUAAUUAUAUAAAUACAUGGGUUAAUAUUCAGGAAAGAUGCAAAAACCUGAUUAGGUUAGCUCCACCUUGAGGGAAAUUUGGCAAAAGUGACUGAAAGGGAGAAAGAUGAAAAAUUAUAGGUGAUGGGCCUGUGUUGUAUGUUAUAGGAUUCAUUGAGUCUGUGGGUUCAAGUGCUUCUGGGUACUGUGCCUUCUGCUUAUUUCACCCACUACUGGGUUGCAACCAAUAUACCAAAUCAGCACUUGCAAAUCUGCUGGCCUCACUGGUUCUAGCUGUAUGCAUUAUUUCCUGGAAGGGGCUUCAUAUAGGAAAGGAAGUUCAUUCUCUUGGUAAGUUGGCUUCUGACUAGAGUCCUUAUAGCUGCCUACUGCUUAGAUUGAGCUGCUUGUCCCUUGUCAUUAUCCAGGAGAGUUGAACCUAGAGGAGAGUAGAGGGAAGAAGAGUAAAUUUCUGUUAGAAGAAGCUAACACCUAUAAAAUGUGUAUUAGAGAGAUAGGUCUGGAUUAGAGCCCUAGCUCUGCUUUUUAGCAAUGAUGUGACCUUGGGCAAGUUAAUUUACUGAAACCAGUUGCUUUACCUUUAAAAUUAUAAUAUUAUCUAAUAUUUAUAUAUUCUGUGUUCAAGGCACUGUGUUAAGCACUUGCCAAAUGUUAUUAACAUAAGAUAAAGAUUAUUAUUUUUCCCAUUUACAGAUGAAAAAGAAAAAUGUUGGAGAAGUUAAAUAACUUGUACCUGGUCAUGCUGCUAGUGGGUAUUAGAGUUCAGAGCCUGGAUUUGGACCCAGGUGCUUGGACUCUGAUGUGUAUUCUACUGACCACCACAGUAUACGUCAUGGGAUUGUUGUUUACAAGCUUAUGUCUUAAAAUGUACAGAUAUGCAAAUGGUCUAAAGCAUGUAGCCCAGUAUAUAACACACAGUAAACACACAAUCUUUAUUAACCAUUAUUACUAUUGCAAAUCAAGUGCUAUAUAUAUUUUAAUGUACACAACCUCUAUCCUAAAAUUAGAAUUGUUAGAUUGGGAAACUAGGAGUCAGAUGGGUUAAGUUCAUAUAGCUGGUAAGAGAUUUAACCUGUGAUUUAAACCAGGUUUUUCUGACUCUAGAGACCAUGUACUUUCUCCUCUACCAGUAGUUUGUGACAUGUAGUAUGGAGAUUUCUGAGGACUCAGAAUUAGUAAGAAGGCUCUACACAUCUACGGUUAUGCUAAGCAUUGUUGUAGACAGAAAGUAUAAUCUAUGUCACAUGUAUAUGUACUAUUUUAGAUGUAUGGUUUGAUUAACACACAGAAAUCUAUUCUUGUAAUUAAGAAAAUGUAGCUUCAUUAAUAGGACUAUUAAUCCAUGAUGUAUUCUUGUCACUAUAUAUUUUUCUCAGUGUUCAAAUACCAAAAUUACAGUUACUUUUAAGUGGAAAUGCAUAGAUAUUUUUGAAGUUAAAAGAAUCUUUAUAUUUGGAAAGUUUUAGAUGUAAUAAACCACAUGAGUUCAUAAUCCUCCAUGAUUAUAGGACUAUGUCUAUCAUACAUGAACUGGCUUGUACAUAUUUCCUAUUGUAAGUGAAAGAGUCUUAGAGUGAGGUAACUAUAGCAUGCUGCACAGACACAGUGGGAGAAGGAACGGAAAGCUCUAUUGGGUGUUUCGUUCAUGGAUUCACACCAUAAAUACCUUACAAUAGUUUUAAUGGAGAAAGAAACACCCAGAGGAAAUUAAAAAGCAACAGUUUUGGCUAUGAAAAUGUGAAUACCUAAAUUGCUAAAGCCUUUUGUAGGAUUUGAGAAGUGUGAUUUAUAUUAAAAACAAUGGGAAUCAUAUGGCCCUCACCCAGAGAAAGUGUGUGAGAAUUUCUCCCUCAGGGGUCAGAUGAAUUACAGGCCUUUGAAAAGAGGAAAUUUUGAGUUAAUUUUUCAUUUUAGCAUUACAUUGGGGAUUAUUGAAGGGAAGAAAAUCCGAUUACUGUAUAGGAUGGUAGGCAAGAAAAGAAGCUAAGCAAGUUUUUACUUGUAUCUUCAAUGGUGUGGUGUUUCAUGAAUAAACACUUUGAGAUAUCUA